This 97-nucleotide ribosomal RNA is filed under the name Gnetum africanum. RNAcentral's name for it is "partial 5.8S ribosomal RNA". It matches the Rfam family "5.8S ribosomal RNA", at positions 63 to 154 of the family's 154-position model. Rfam says of the family: 5.8S ribosomal RNA (5.8S rRNA) is a component of the large subunit of the eukaryotic ribosome. It is transcribed by RNA polymerase I as part of the 45S precursor that also contains 18S and 28S rRNA. Lineage: Eukaryota; Viridiplantae; Streptophyta; Gnetopsida; Gnetales; Gnetaceae. The record is from RNAcentral.
UUGUGUGAAUUGCAGAAUCCCGUGAAUCAUCGAAUCUUUGAACGCAAGUUGCGCCCGAGGGCUAGGCCGAGGGCACGUCUGCCUGGGCGUCUUAAAA